CCAGGCUCACAUCUAAAAGCUUACUUUUUGGUGUUUUUUAUUUUUGAAUGUUUGUCAAUCUGGAUUCUGAAACUAAGUUGCAAUCAUGCGUCGAGAAACAACCUAAGAUUAUUGAAUGAACAACGUCUUUCUUGCAAAGGUGUUUGAUAUUGUUUGUUUAUUAGCUAUUUGUAUUUUUGUGCAUUUAAAAGUUAUUAUUUGUUGCGAAUUGUCGUGUUUAGUUACUCAAUAUGAGUAAACGAGUAAAGGCCUGCUGUGUACCAGGAUGAACGAAUAAGCAACCGAUAAGACAUUCCAUUCCUACGAAUGAAGACGUCUGCAGAAUUUGGUUGCAAAUAAUAAAUAACCCCAAAUUAAUGCUUGCAGAUACAGCAUUAUCAUCACAUAGAAUAUUUGAACCAAUUUGUAGAAACCCCAAUGGCAGGUUAAAAAAAUUUGUUGCAAAUUGUGUUGUCGUGUUUACUUACUCAAUAUGAGUAAACGAGUAAAGAACUGCUGUGUACCAGGAUGCACGAAUAAGCAACCGAUAAGACAUUCCAUUCCUACGAAUGAAGACGUCUGCAGAAUUUGGUUGCAAACAAUAAAUAACCCCAAAUUAAUGCUUGCAGAUACAGCAUUAUCAUCACAUAGAAUAUUUGAACCAAUUUGUAGAAACCCCAAUGGCAGGUUAAAAAAACUUUCACUGCCAACUCUACAUUUACCUGCUAAGUACUUAUAUUUACUGUGACAGUAAAACUCUUAUGAAUCCUAGUGAAAAGUUCUGCAGAGGAAACUAAUUGCUAUUUCCUCCGAUAGAUAGUCAAUGUCCCAAUUUAUAAACCAUUCAAUAGAAGCUCAAAAUAUACGGGAUUAGAUAUUGUCACUCCUUAUGUGGCAGGUUCAGUAGCGAAGAAAUUAUUUAAAAGUCUCAAAUGCCACUUGUGUAAAAAUAUAAUAUUGUCGAACAAAUUAAUUAAGACAGAUUCAUUAAUGUAUUCUAUGGAACAUAAAAAAAAAUGUUUUAUGUGCGCCUUCAGCAAAAUUCUGUGAUAUUUUUAAAAGUUUUGCUAAUAAAAUCUUCGAAAGAUUGUCCCAGUUAAUCAAUUCGUUGGGCAUAAAGAAACAAAUAUUUCAUACUGAGGAUUUGACAGACAUUUCCUCAAUAUUUUGUUCAGAUCAUACGGAUUAUGUAAAUAUUAAUUUUAACAUAUGUGUCUUUUGUUACAUAGGUAUUAUUAAUAAAAUUUUGAAGGGCAAAGAUCAACAAUAUAAAGACUACGAUGUGAUGAAUAUGGCACAUGUUAAAUAUGGGGAAAGCUGCAAGAAAGACAACAGUAAUCAUUAAUUUACCACGGUUAUAAAAUCAGUUUUAUAUAUACCAUUGUAUAUGUACCAUGUACAAACAGAAACAUUUUUUAAACACUCCAACGUUUAACUGUUGACAGUCCUAAGCCUGCUAAAGUGUGAAGGAAAAUUUUUUAUUUGUGGAUAUAGUUAUUUAUAGAAUGACAAAAACAAAAUAAAAAUUAUAAUAAUUA
Molecule: long non-coding RNA, 1517 nt
Organism: Diorhabda sublineata
Lineage: Eukaryota; Metazoa; Arthropoda; Insecta; Coleoptera; Chrysomelidae
Exons: 3
Source: RefSeq, a predicted model, not a curated record